RNAcentral lists this unclassified non-coding RNA (231 nucleotides) under plant metagenome. RNAcentral's name for it is "partial contains small subunit ribosomal RNA, internal transcribed spacer 1, and 5.8S ribosomal RNA". The record is from RNAcentral.
GGAAGUAAAAGUAACAAGGUCUCCGUUGGUGAACCAGCGGAGGGAUCAUUACAGGAUCGAAAGACUCCUAUAACCCCUGUGAACUUACUACAAAUACGUUGCUUCGGCGGGUGCCCCGGGUCUCCCGGGGCGUUCAGCCCGCCGGCAGCCUUCAAAUUCUGUUUCUUUGCGUUGGCAUCUCGAGUAUACAAAAAUAAGUUAAAACUUUCAACAACGGAUCUCUUGGUUCUG